RNAcentral lists this long non-coding RNA (698 nucleotides) under Brachypodium distachyon (stiff brome). RNAcentral describes it as "long non-coding RNA (BDIS_LNC004955)". The record is from RNAcentral. Lineage: Eukaryota; Viridiplantae; Streptophyta; Magnoliopsida; Poales; Poaceae.
GCCGCUCCAGUGGUAGGAGGGGGUGGGAGCCUGCGCUUGGCGCUACAGUUGCUCUCUAAAAUUAGGAUUUGGUCAACCGGUAGCGGCGCUAUGGUGACGAUGACGGUUAUGCGGAUCAAGAACAAUGUUUCCUCAACUCCGCUUCCACCUCGUCGGCAGCGACUUCGCAGGUGGAGUUGAGUAGUGUGAGGUGUUUGGUCACUGCUCUUUUGGAGGAGUGGUUCUAAUUUUGUCUUCCAUGUUUUGCAGGCAGUCCACGGAUUUCGGUUUGUUAGUUCCUUUUCCGAUCGGCGUGGCUCGGACAGUUCCGACUUCGUCACAGAGUUAGUGAGGCUAUCUCAGAUCACUGUCGCGCGCCGUGUCUUGUCACUUUGACCUGUGACUUCUCAGCUGCUAUGCCAACAACGUUUUUCUGGUUCUGAAGUGGUUCAUAUAGGGGUACACAGUCAGCGCACCAUCGGUGAGUGCAGAAAGAAGACGGCGAUGUUUACACCCACAAGUGCUAGCGUGUAAUUUUAUUUUAUUUUUUACUCUAAAGAUGGUUCUUGUAACGAUUGGUUGAUUAAUAUACGGCCUUGCUCUUCCCGCGGGGAAAAGAAAAAAAGAAGAAGCCAUGGAACAACAGAUCCACAACAUUGGUUUCCCCAAAAGUUGCCGGCAAUCAAACUAAACCCGUACGUCAUCAGCCCCAAACAGAG